This 522-nucleotide ribosomal RNA is filed under the name uncultured beta proteobacterium. Its description in RNAcentral is "bacterial SSU rRNA". It matches the Rfam family "Bacterial small subunit ribosomal RNA", at positions 8 to 525 of the family's 1533-position model. The record is from RNAcentral. Lineage: Bacteria; Pseudomonadati; Pseudomonadota; Betaproteobacteria.
AGAGUUUGAUCCUGGCUCAAAUUGAACGCUGGCGGAAUGCUUUACACAUGCAAGUCGAACGAUGAACCUUAGCUUGCUAGGGGGAUUAGUGGCGGACGGGUGAGUAAUAUAUCGGAACGUGUCCAUUAAUGGGGGAUAACUAGCCGAAAGGUUGGCUAAUACCGCAUACGCCCUGAGGGGGAAAGCUGGGGAUCUUCGGACCUGGCGUUAAUGGAGCGGCUGAUACCUGAUUAGCUAGUUGGUAGGGUAAUGGCCUACCAAGGCAACGAUCAGUAGCUGGUCUGAGAGGACGACCAGCCACACUGGGACUGAGACACGGCCCAGACUCCUACGGGAGGCAGCAGUGGGGAAUUUUGGACAAUGGGGGCAACCCUGAUCCAGCCAUUCCGCGUGAGUGAAGAAGGCCUUCGGGUUGUAAAGCUCUUUCGCAAGGGAAGAAAAGAUACAAGUUAAUAGCUUGUGUUGAUGACGGUACCUUGACAAGAAGCACCGGCUAACUACGUGCCAGCAGCCGCGGUAAUA